GCCAAGUGGUUACGGCGACUGACUAGAAAUCAUUUGGGCUCUGCCCGCGUAGGUUCGAAUCCUGC
This is a non-coding RNA of Nowakowskiella sp. JEL0407, 65 nucleotides long. Lineage: Eukaryota; Fungi; Chytridiomycota; Chytridiomycetes; Cladochytriales; Nowakowskiellaceae. The record is from the annotation of a GenBank genome assembly.